This 253-nucleotide ribosomal RNA is filed under the name uncultured bacterium. Its description in RNAcentral is "partial 16S ribosomal RNA". It matches the Rfam family "Bacterial small subunit ribosomal RNA", at positions 524 to 776 of the family's 1533-position model. The record is from RNAcentral.
UACAGAGGUCUCAAGCGUUGUUCGGAUUCAUUGGGCGUAAAGGGUGCGUAGGCGGCGCGGUAAGUCGGGUGUGAAAUCUCGGGGCUUAACUCCGAAACUGCACUCGAUACUGCCGUGCUUGAGGACUGGAGAGGAGACUGGAAUUUACGGUGUAGCGGUGAAAUGCGUAGAUAUCGUAAGGAAGACCAGUGGCGAAGGCGGGUCUCUGGACAGUUCCUGACGCUGAGGCACGAAGGCCAGGGGAGCAAACGGG